RNAcentral lists this transfer RNA (73 nucleotides) under Phakopsora pachyrhizi. RNAcentral describes it as "tRNA-Ser". It matches the Rfam family "tRNA". From Rfam's summary of the family: Transfer RNA (tRNA) molecules are approximately 80 nucleotides in length. Their secondary structure includes four short double-helical elements and three loops (D, anti-codon, and T loops). Further hydrogen bonds mediate the characteristic L-shaped molecular structure. tRNAs have two regions of fundamental functional importance: the anti-codon, which is responsible for specific mRNA codon recognition, and the 3' end, to which the tRNAs corresponding amino acid is attached (by aminoacyl-tRNA synthetases). tRNAs cope with the degeneracy of the genetic code in two manners: having more than one tRNA (with a specific anti-codon) for a particular amino acid; and 'wobble' base-pairing, i.e. permitting non-standard base-pairing at the 3rd anti-codon position. Lineage: Eukaryota; Fungi; Basidiomycota; Pucciniomycetes; Pucciniales; Phakopsoraceae. The record is from RNAcentral.
GCGCAUUUAGCACAAAUGGUAAGAGCAUCACUCUUGAAAGUUGAGGUUGUGGGUUUGAUUCCCACAGUGCACA